GACAGAGGUGGCGAGCGUUGUUCGGAAUCACUGGGCUUAAAGGGCGCGUAGGUGGUAGUGCAAGUCUGAGGUGGAAUCUUAGGGCUUAACCCUAAAAUUGCCUUGGAAACUGCAUUACUUGAGUCAGUGAGGGGAAGGUAGAAUUCCCGGUGUAGCGGUAAAAUGCGUAGAUAUCGGGAGGAAGGCCUGUGGCGAAGGCGGCCUUCUGGCGCUGAACUGACACUGAGGCGCGAAAGCGUGGGUAGCAAACAGG
Molecule: ribosomal RNA, 253 nt
Filed under: uncultured bacterium
Lineage: Bacteria
Description: partial 16S ribosomal RNA
Rfam family: Bacterial small subunit ribosomal RNA
Source: RNAcentral